This 321-nucleotide ribosomal RNA is filed under the name Acinetobacter sp. 1294596. RNAcentral's name for it is "partial 16S ribosomal RNA". The record is from RNAcentral. Lineage: Bacteria; Pseudomonadati; Pseudomonadota; Gammaproteobacteria; Moraxellales; Moraxellaceae.
GCAAAUUCAGUUUUUUUAAAUUUUUACUAUUGGGCUAAUUGCUUAUUUUAUAUGCGAAUAUUAAUUAAAUUAUACUAACUAUAACAUGUAUUAACACUUAUUCUUAAAGAUGUAACUCUAUUUGAGUUUAAUUUUGGUUAAAAUUAUUUCCACUAUAUUAACAAUUGUACAAAAUAAUAAAGCUACUCUAGAGGCCUGUUUUCAACCCCAGAAAACAGGCCUUUUUUUAUAAAAAAUAUUCUGGAUUUAUAAUUUCAUAUGAUGUUUAAAAUAAGGUAAAAAAUUAUUUAAAUGUAAACUUAUAAUAAUUAAAAGUAGGUA